AGCUUCUGCAGGGCUGUACAAAGGCUUCUCAGGAGCUCAGGCUGCAUCGUAUCAUUAAAUAAAGACAAGCCAGGGAGCAGUCAUUGCCUUGAAGUCAAACGGCAUGGGCAGGCCCACAGCUGCACACCUCUUGGCCUGAAGAGAGCUCAGCCAACAAGUCCAGUGCUAGAGUUUGCUCCUGGGCCUGCAAUGGGAACAAAUCAUCCAGGACAAAAGUUGCAGCACAGAUAAAACCUGAUUUUAGCAGCCCAAGACUGCAGUUGCUCUCUGAAAACACUGCUAUGAAAUUAAGCUUAACAAGCCAGAAAAUACAACGCACUGCCAAAGAAAAAGAAACCAUUUGUACAAGCCCUCGAAGCCUACAAUCCACAUUAGUUGUUAUUUAGAGUGAAGAUAACAUAAGAUAGCAAGAGAAAAGAAGAGCUGUAUCAAUAGCCAGAGGCAAACCCAACAAAACAUGUUUGUGCAAGUGGACAGACUGGCUUUUCACAAUGGAAUCUCUGGUCAUCACAGAGAAAAUGCAAUUAAAAAGCACAGCUACAUAGCAAUGGGCUUUUCCUUCUCUGCAAAGCAGAUGUACAACCAUAUAUACGACAUAUAGAAUACUUGAAGUCCUAUCUCAGCAUUUAUAGCUUCUUAAAUGUAACAUGGCACUGCAGCUGCCUUUCUUUUUGUUACAGGCCACUGUUUUUGAGAAUGUCCUUGCCAGGAACUUGAAAUGAGAAUACAUCAGCACUCAUAUUAAAAGGUCACUGCUCAGGAACAGAAGAGGCUGCAGAGCAUCAGCAUGAAGAGGAACCCAGCGAUUGUCAGCAGCGGCAAAAGAUGUGUGUGGAAAAGUGAUGUCAAUCAGAAAACACUGAAUUAUAGAACAGGUGGAUGCAGGACAUCUUUUGAGAGCAAAGCAAGAGGCUGUGCUGCACCUUGUACAUUGACAAGAUAGUCCCUGCCCUUUUAAAACUCCCUGCCUUACAGCACGCAGUGCAAGCAGGAGAGGCAGAGGUAUCAUCAAGACAGUGCUGGGUCAGAAGGAAUUCCAGCCCCAGCUUCUCAGCUCAUUUCCAUCACUCUUCAUCUACUUAAAUUAUGAAAUGUAAAUCACACCACAGCAAGGGCGUGCCCAGUUGAAAACAGAAUCAUGGAGUUAUUAAGGUUGGUAAAGACCUCGAAGAUCACCAACCCCAACUCAUUCCACCAUGCCCACUGACCAUGUACCCAAGUGCCACAUCUCUACGUUUCUUGAACAUGUGAAGGCACGGUGACUCCCUAGGCAGCCUGUGACUCCAGCACCUCCCUAGGCAGCCUGUGCCAAAGCAUCUCCACUCUUUCCAAGAAAGAAUUUUUCCUAACAUCAAACCUUAAAGGGAAGAAUAGCUUCCUAUCAGCUAUCAGUCUGCACAGAGUGUCUAAGGAGUUCACUAAGUCCUUUGGGAGUAGCCAUUUUACAGCAACACAUAUCUGUAGGAACAUAUACAGGCUUCAGUUUGCUUGAAUCCUAACCUCAGCCCUUUUGGUAGGUGUUUUUCCUCAGGUCGCUGUGAAU
RNAcentral lists this long non-coding RNA (1543 nucleotides) under Phasianus colchicus (ring-necked pheasant). Its description in RNAcentral is "lncRNA (ENSPCLG00000011979.1)". Lineage: Eukaryota; Metazoa; Chordata; Aves; Galliformes; Phasianidae. The record is from RNAcentral.